Molecule: ribosomal RNA, 483 nt
Filed under: uncultured bacterium
Lineage: Bacteria
Description: partial 16S ribosomal RNA
Rfam family: Bacterial small subunit ribosomal RNA
Source: RNAcentral
GACGAACGCUGGCGGCGUGCUUAACACAUGCAAGUCGAACGCUGAAGCUCAGCUUUUGUUGGGUGGAUGAGUGGCGAACGGGUGAGUAACACGUGAGUAACCUGCCCCCUUCUUUGGGAUAACGCCCGGAAACGGGUGCUAAUACUGGAUAUUCACUGGUCUUCGCAUGGGGGUUGGUGGAAAGGGUUUUUCUGGUGGGGGAUGGGCUCGCGGCCUAUCAGCUUGUUGGUGGGGUGAUGGCCUACCAAGGCUUUGACGGGUAGCCGGCCUGAGAGGGUGACCGGUCACAUUGGGACUGAGAUACGGCCCAGACUCCUACGGGAGGCAGCAGUGGGGAAUAUUGCACAAUGGGCGCAAGCCUGAUGCAGCGACGCCGCGUGAGGGAUGGAGGCCUUCGGGUUGUGAACUUCUUUCGCUCAUGGUCAAGCCGCAACAAUGGUUGUGGUGAGGGUAGUGGGUAAAGAAGCGCCGGCUAACUACGUG